CCCAUGGUAGCUCAAGUGGCAGAGCUUUUAAAAUGACGGUUGGCUGGCGGUUCAAGUCCGCCCCAUGGGA
RNAcentral lists this transfer RNA (70 nucleotides) under Oscillatoriales cyanobacterium. RNAcentral's name for it is "tRNA-OTHER". It matches the Rfam family "tRNA". Rfam says of the family: Transfer RNA (tRNA) molecules are approximately 80 nucleotides in length. Their secondary structure includes four short double-helical elements and three loops (D, anti-codon, and T loops). RNAcentral also lists the same sequence under 6 other names. The record is from RNAcentral. Lineage: Bacteria; Bacillati; Cyanobacteriota; Cyanophyceae; Oscillatoriales.